UCGAUCCCUCCUCUAUCCAAAUGAGGCAGGGCUAUAAAUAAAGACUUCAAGCAUACGAGUUUCCAUGCACAACUGCAAACUCUCUCUCUCUCUCUCUCUAGAUCAAUCACUCUCUCUCUAGAAAUAAAGAAUGGUGUCGAAGGUGGGAGAAACAACAGUAGUGAAAGGGAUGAGUAAUGAAAAGAAGAUAGUUACUAAUUAUAAUAAAUGCAACAAAGGUAAAAACAGCAAAUUCAAGAGAAGCACAUCCAAUCUUGAAGACGAUGGACUCUCUGCUGCUAUUUUCUUCAUUGCUUGCAUUGCCUGCACCCCUUCCCCCGGCCCCGGCCCCCCUUCUUAUUAAUAUAUCAUUUUAAUCAAUUCCGAUAUAUAGCUAUAAAAAUUGGCUGUUAUUAUUGCUUAAUUUUAGGAGGCCAACCUUGUUACUCAUAUGAUUGUAUACUACUGUUCAAUUUGGUAGGCAGAUUAUGCUGGUGGUGAGAAUAUGGAAACAUUACAAUUUUCACCCCUCAGGUUUGCACCAAUUUCAUAUUCAGUACUCAGUGUUUACAAAAAAACACAUUUGGUCCUUCGUGUUUAAUAAAUUCAACAUUCUUAGUCGAUCUCCCCGUCAAUUUCCGGUAAUACUAACGGAAUCAAAGCGUGUCCCAAUGAAUGUCUUAACUGACGAACUAACGGUAAAGUGAUGGAAAUGAUCAAAAGUGUUUAUGAAACAUGAGGACCAAAUAUGUUUUUUUAUGAACAUGAGGACCAAAUGUAAUUUUCUCGUGAGAAUAUAUAUACAUAGAUUAUCCAUUUAUUGAUUUCUUUACUCUGAUUAUUCCAUGUAUAUAUACAUAUAUAGUUAUGUACUCUUCACAUUAUAAGUUGUUAUUGAC
RNAcentral lists this long non-coding RNA (878 nucleotides) under Erythranthe guttata (spotted monkey flower). Its description in RNAcentral is "long non-coding RNA (EGUT_LNC003257)". Lineage: Eukaryota; Viridiplantae; Streptophyta; Magnoliopsida; Lamiales; Phrymaceae. The record is from RNAcentral.